AUGGCGGAGUAAUUUUAUAACAAUGGUUACGACGAAGAGGUGCGUUUGGGGAACCUGCAAAAGCGAUUCGCGGUAUCCUGAUCGUUUAAAACGAGACGCAAGUAGAAGUAAAGUAUUUUUUUUUACAUUUUCUUGGGGAGGAAUACCAUAGCGACAAGCGAGAGCGCUGGAUUCGUGGAUUCGACUGGUGCAGCUUAAAAAAGAAAUUUCAGGGCUUCCAUUUACUACAUGUUUCGAAGUUCAUGUAUGAGAACAAUAUUUCUUCGUGUAUUCAUAUUUUUUAGGAGUUUGCAACAUCAAAAGUUCGAAGCAAGGCAAUCGAUCAACAGGGCUCACUCACUCAGUACUAUGCUUAGUACUUUUUUAAAUAUCUAUCGGAGAAGUCUGGCUGGGAGAAUGGAAGAAAUUCAGACGCCCAAAUGACUUCUUUUACAAUAACGUGGAGAGGAAAGGAAACACACAAAAAGAUGAUGCGAAAAGCAGUGUGUCAUAUGAAUCUCAAUUUUUUGAACAAGAAAAUGAAUUUGGGGAUUU
Xenia sp. Carnegie-2017 is the source of this 534-nucleotide long non-coding RNA. RefSeq lists it as uncharacterized. The transcript has 3 exons. NCBI's taxonomy places the organism in Eukaryota, Metazoa, Cnidaria, Anthozoa, Malacalcyonacea, Xeniidae. The record is from RefSeq and is a predicted model, not a curated record.